Molecule: microRNA precursor, 114 nt
Filed under: Apis mellifera (honey bee)
Lineage: Eukaryota; Metazoa; Arthropoda; Insecta; Hymenoptera; Apidae
Description: microRNA ame-mir-3716b precursor
Source: miRBase by way of RNAcentral
CAAACUUGAAAUUGAAGAACUUGAAUUCGAUGGCAAUCGUUCUAUGUAUUUUUGCAAUGUAUAUUUGCAGAUACAAUUACGAUGUUAUUUGAAAUCAUUGGCAAUAAUAGUUUA